Oncorhynchus keta (chum salmon) is the source of this 2104-nucleotide long non-coding RNA. RefSeq lists it as uncharacterized. The record is from RefSeq and is a predicted model, not a curated record. The transcript is spliced from 3 exons. Lineage: Eukaryota; Metazoa; Chordata; Actinopteri; Salmoniformes; Salmonidae.
CAGACAAGACAUUUGCUCCCACCACCAUAUCCAUCUCCGCUUCCUGCUCCGCCGAGGAUCCGGGAAAGGAAAGUCGCCAUCAGUAAUUACAAGCUUCCUUAAGAAUGCUUACACGUCUUUCCAGGGAGUUUGUACGCAGUACGUGGCAAUGCACACACAGACUGGUUCGAGCCGCCUGAGCGUGAUCCAUGCCUAGUCAAACUACACAUAGCUAGUGAGUAUCUUUCAGAGAAAUGCUAUAACUGCAUGAUCUCGACCCCGAACUCGGGUUAGCCAUCGUCGCCUUGUUCGUUUUCUUAGCCAUCCUACUCAUUGCACCAGCAAAUUGAAGAAUAACUAGUUGUUCAUGAUUAGAAGGACUAUGAGAAAAGUACAAACUUCAGCACACAACGUCCACUGGGUGAGCACACUCUACCACUAACUUACAGGACAGUUUAGGUUGGUGCAAUGUAAAACAGUCUCGUUUUCCAAUUAUUUGUUUUAGUAGCGUGUAUUGUUCCUUUUCACACCGAGGUGAAUAGCGGAAUAAUUGAAGGAAUGUAUCCGAGCCUCACACAUCAUCUGUGGAAGACGGGACUGCCAGCAUGAUCCUUCAACUGAAGUCGAGAGAGUGCAACUCCCCCAUAGAACACUACAUGACCAAAAGUAUGUGGACACCUGCUCUUCGAACAUCUCAUUCCAAAAUCAUGGGCAUUGAUUUGGAGUUGGUCCACCAUUUAUUGAUAUAGCCGCCUCCACUCGUCUGGGAAGGCUUUCCACUAAGUGUUGGAACAUUGAUGCAGGCACAAAGGUGUUUGAUGGGGUUGAGGCCAGGGCUCUGUGCAGGCCAAUUAAGUUCUUCCACACAAAUCUCAACAAACCAUUUCUGUAUGGACCUGGCUUUGUGCAUGGGGGCAUUGUCAUGCUGAAACAGGAAAGGGCCUUCCCCAAAUUGUUGCCACAAAGUUGGAAGCACAGAAUCGUCUGCUGUAUUGUUAAGAAUAGUAUAUCUAUCAACAGCAAUUAGAGCUGUAAAACCAAGCAAUGACAUUAAGAAUCAAAUAAAGGACAUACUGUAUAAUAUUCUAUAUGUCGGCUUGUUUGUAGGUUUUGACUGGCCUUAUACACAACAAACUUACCUCCUGCAAUCAUGUGUUGGGGCGGAAGGUAGCCUAGUGGUUAGAGCGUUGGACUAGUAACCGGAAGGUUGCAAGAUUGAAUCCCCAAGCUGACAAGACUUGAAUGGUACAGAGUUGACUGCUUUGUGCACAAUUCUUGCAGCACUCACAUGAUCUGUUGUGUGUUAGAGGACAAUUCCAGACAGUACUCCUAUGGCUCUGAUGUCACAGAGGCAGCCAACUUUUCCAUUGACUUUCAUAAUUGCAUGAGCAAAUAUGCCUUUCGUACAAGAUCAUCAACCUUCUAUGUGCCACACCACAGGUCUGUAGACUGCACACUUGUACACUGUUCUGAAGAAAGUAUUGGAAGAACCUUUUAUAGUACCUGCAGGAGAAUAUCAUUUGUUUUAUAAUAGUUAUAAAUAUUUCAUAACUAACUGAACUGAAAAAAAAAACUUCAUAACUAAUUUAACUGAAAUUGUAAUUGUGUCCUCGGAUUUGGCACUUUUAGAUUUGCCCUCCGGUUCGGGUGAAGCACACCGUGACUGUAAAAGUGGGACAGACUGUGUAAGAACGAAGCCAAUGUAAACUUGGCUGAUUGCAGCCUGCCGAAUUCUCUGAAUCUCAAGGUAAUAUAUAAACAGGGCACAACUUUCAGUGAGGAUGGGGGAACAUGCGGACACCUGGAUAAAAAUAACAACUAUGACCUGACAUUUUGUCGUGCUUGAGGUCCCACAUUCUGCCUUUCCAACUCCAAGCUACCUUCUGGUGGACCAGUGUAAUUGACAUGGACUUGGAAUUUAAGUUUGUCAAAGCAUUCUGGAUUGAACUAACCCCGCUGUUGCAUCACCAUACAUCUACAACUCCUUAAAAGCAUUUUGUCAACACAAACACAAUAUUUGGAGCUUGACAUUUAAACUUUGAUUUUACAGUCUCUGAAGUCCUUUAGUAUGUUUUACCUGUUCUUUGGUCACCACGGUCAAGUUCUACUGAUUAAUUAAGAGCUU